This 733-nucleotide ribosomal RNA is filed under the name Pythium insidiosum. RNAcentral describes it as "eukaryotic LSU rRNA". It matches the Rfam family "Eukaryotic large subunit ribosomal RNA", at positions 55 to 634 of the family's 3401-position model. The record is from RNAcentral. Lineage: Eukaryota; Oomycota; Peronosporomycetes; Pythiales; Pythiaceae.
GAGAAAGAAACUAACAAGGAUUCCCCUAGUAACGGCGAGUGAAGCGGGAUGAGCUCAAGCUUAAAAUCUCUGUGCAGGUUCUGCAUGGCGAAUUGUAGUCUAUGGAGGCGAUGUCAGUGCGGUUGUGCGGGAUAAGUUCCUUGGAAGAGGACAGCAUCGAGGGUGAUACUCCCGUAUGUGCCUGUACAGCUGCGCGUACGACACGUUUUCUUUGAGUCGCGUUGUUUGGGAAUGCAGCGCAAAGUAGGUGGUAAAUUCCAUCUAAAGCUAAAUAUUGGUGCGAGACCGAUAGCGAACAAGUACCGUGAGGGAAAGAUGAAAAGAACUUUGAAAAGAGAGUUAAAGAGUACCUGAAACUGCUGAAAGGGAAUCGAAUCGUUUCCAGUGUCUAUAAUCCAUGACAUAUUUCAUUGGCGCGUGAAUGCGUGCAGCGUUUUGGAAGUGGGUUUCCUCUCCUGGCGUUGUUGUGCGUUUGCUUGCUGGUGCCCUGUGUUGUGGUGGGACGUCAGAGUCAGUUCGUAUGCCGCGGGAAAUGGCUGUCAGGGAGGUAGGUCGCUUCGGUGAUUGUUAUAGCCUGGCAGUUAGUAGUCGUGGUUGGGACUGAGGUGCCUACAACGCGCUUUCGAGUCUGCGGGACUCUCGUCUGGUUGCCUGCUUGGACAGCUUGCUGUGCUAGUGGUCACAUCGGGCGAUUGAGAUCUGUAGUAACUUGUUGCCGUUCGGACUUGACGAA